AGAGUUUGAUCCUGGCUCAGGACGAACGCUGGCGGCGUGCCUAAUACAUGCAAGCCGAGCGGACCGGAUUGGGGCUUGCCUUGAUUCGGUCAGCGGCGGACGGGUGAGUAACACGUGGGCAACCUGCCCGCAAGACCGGGAUAACUCCGGGAAACCGGAGCUAAUACCGGAUAACACCGAAGACCGCAUGGUCUUCGGUUGAAAGGCGGCCUUUGGGCUGUCACUUGCGGAUGGGCCCGCGGCGCAUUAGCUAGUUGGUGAGGUAACGGCUCACCAAGGCGACGAUGCGUAGCCGGCCUGAGAGGGUGACCGGCCACACUGGGACUGAGACACGGCCCAGACUCCUACGGGAGGCAGCAGUAGGGAAUCUUCCGCAAUGGGCGAAAGCCUGACGGAGCGACGCCGCGUGAGCGAAGAAGGCCUUCGGGUCGUAAAGCUCUGUUGUGAGGGACGAAGGAGCGCCGUUCGAAGAGGGCGGCGCGGUGACGGUACCUCACGAGAAAGCCCCGGCUAACUACGUGCCAGCAGCCGCGGU
This 535-nucleotide ribosomal RNA is filed under the name uncultured bacterium. RNAcentral describes it as "bacterial SSU rRNA". It matches the Rfam family "Bacterial small subunit ribosomal RNA", at positions 8 to 521 of the family's 1533-position model. The record is from RNAcentral.